CCUACGGGUGGCAGCAGUGGGGAAUAUUGCACAAUGGGGGAAACCCUGAUGCAGCGACGCCGCGUGAGUGAAGAAGUAUUUCGGUAUGUAAAGCUCUGUCAGCAGGGAAGAAAAUGACGGUACCUGACCAAGAAGCCCCGGCUAACUACGUGCCAGCAGCCGCGGUAAUACGUAGGGGGCAAGCGUUAUCCGGAAUCAUUGGGCGUAAAGAGUUCGUAGGUGGCACGUUAAGUCUGGUGUUAAAGGCGGAAGCUCAACUUCCGUAGGGCACUGGAUACUGGCGAGCUUGAAUGCGGUAGAGGUAAAGGGAAUUCCUGGUGUAGCGGUGAAAUGCGUAGAUAUCAGGAGGAACAUCGGUGGCGUAAGCGCUUUACUGGGCCGUAAUUGACACUGAGGAACGAAAGCCGGGGUAGCAAAUGGGAUUAGAUACCCGAGUAGUC
Molecule: ribosomal RNA, 440 nt
Filed under: uncultured bacterium
Lineage: Bacteria
Description: partial 16S ribosomal RNA
Rfam family: Bacterial small subunit ribosomal RNA
Source: RNAcentral